GACUACGCUGGCGGCGUGCCUAAUACAUGCAAGUCGAACGGGAUUUUUGAUCAGCUUGCUGAGAGAAGGAUCUAGUGGCGGACGGGUGAGUAACGCGUGGGAAUCUGCCUCUUACUGGGGGAUAACAGUGGGAAACUACUGCUAAUACCGCAUAAGAUCUUCGGAUGAAAGGUGCAAUUGUACCGGUAAGAGAUGAGCCCGCGUCCCAUUAGCUAGUUGGUGAGGUAAAGGCUCACCAAGGUCGACGAUGGGUAGCCGGCCUGAGAGGGUGAACGGCCACACUGGGACUGAGACACGGCCCAGACUCCUACGGGAGGCAGCAGUAGGGAAUCUUCCGUUCAAUGGGCGCAAGCCUGACGGAGCGACGCCGCGUGAGUGAUGAAGGCCUUCGGGUCGUAAAGCUCUGUUCUUGAGGACGAAUAAGCCAGGGAGUGGAAAGCCCUGGUGAUGACUGUACUCAAGGAGAAAGCUCCGGCUAACUACGUG
This 486-nucleotide ribosomal RNA is filed under the name uncultured bacterium. RNAcentral's name for it is "bacterial SSU rRNA". It matches the Rfam family "Bacterial small subunit ribosomal RNA", at positions 33 to 507 of the family's 1533-position model. The record is from RNAcentral.